ACAUCUGAAAAAUACAGAAGAGCAAAAACGGCGCACAAAAGCUUCUGCUACUUCUUCUUUCAUUUUCUAGAAAAUCACUCAAAAAGAACCCAACAGCUCUUUAACGAUGGAAACACCUUAACAACCUUUCUUCUUCUUCACUUGGCAGCCAUUUUCUGGCUCUCCAUCUUCACAAAAGAAGACCCAAAUCUGAAAAUCCCAUCUCUAAAAGAAAAGAAAAGAAAUAUUCGGAAAAACCUCCUCCUUCUCACGCAAGAAGGUAGCCAAGAAUCUACUGAUCUCCACACACACGAAUACAUCACUCUCUCUAAUCUCAUUCACACACAAUUUGCACGCUAGAAGCAUAUAAAUCCGGAAUCAAAUACAGAUCUGAGAAUUGUAAAAGGACUCCAUAAACACGAAAUUAAAAAAAACAGAUAUAAAAAGGAGGUUUCAGAGUUUAAUGGAAUUGUGGAGUUUGGUUCGAAGCUGGGAAGCGCCGUGGAAAUCGUUGUUGUCUGUUGCUGCUUUAAGCCAAGUAUGUUCUGAAUAAGACCAAAAUUUCUUUUUCUGUUUGUGCAUCAAAUUAAAGGUCAGGUUUUUUAUUUUGGUUAUGUUGAGCUUUGUUAAAGUUAAGUGUUAGCGGAAGAGUACUAGUAUUUUAUCAAAUUAUAAAUAUUCUCAACAGUAGUAUAAUAUAUUUUGCCAAUAUCAAUUAAAAUUC
This 703-nucleotide long non-coding RNA is filed under the name Nicotiana benthamiana. RNAcentral describes it as "long non-coding RNA (NBEN_LNC003199)". Lineage: Eukaryota; Viridiplantae; Streptophyta; Magnoliopsida; Solanales; Solanaceae. The record is from RNAcentral.